GGGGUACGCCACUGGGACUGAAACCGGCCCAGGACUCCUACGGGAGGCAGCAGUAGGGAAUCUUCCGCAAUGGGCGAAUUUCUGACCUACCAACGCCUCUUUCGUGAACAAUUUUUCCCUUCUUUUUUUUUCUCUUUUACGUUCCUUCCCUCUUACCUUUAUCCUUUUUUUCCUUUCUCCCACCAUUCUCCUUUUCUUUCCCCCUUCCUUUUUUUCUCUCCUUACAAGCCACCCUUUCUUUUUUUUCUUUCCCCUUUCCUUUUAUCCUACAUCUUUAUCCCCCAUCUUUUCCUCCUCUUCUCCCUUCCUUUCUCUCUCCCUUUUUUUUUUUCUUUCUUUCCUUUUUCUUUCUUUUUUCUCUCCUUUUUUUCUUUCCUUUUUUUCUUUAAUAUUCCGGCUUCCGAUCAAGUUAUGAUGUAGAAACUUCAUUUUGAUUUAAAAUAAUCCCUCUUUGCUGAUUGACCAUAUUUCACAAUAAAUAUUAUAUUCUCCCCCACUCCA
Molecule: ribosomal RNA, 501 nt
Filed under: uncultured Streptococcus sp.
Lineage: Bacteria; Bacillati; Bacillota; Bacilli; Lactobacillales; Streptococcaceae
Description: partial 16S ribosomal RNA
Source: RNAcentral